RNAcentral lists this unclassified non-coding RNA (209 nucleotides) under Hevea brasiliensis (rubber tree). Lineage: Eukaryota; Viridiplantae; Streptophyta; Magnoliopsida; Malpighiales; Euphorbiaceae. The record is from RNAcentral.
GAAACUUCCCACAUAAAAUGUAAAAAGGAAUAGUAGGUACAUUUGACACUUUGCUGUAAUCAACAAGGAAGAAAAAUUGUAAGCAUGAUUUUCAUUUCUUGUAUUCCUCACACUUCGAUUCAUUGUUUAGCUUUCCCAUUUGGGAAGAGUCGUCAUUUGUAAAUAUGAUUCUUGUAAUAAUGAGAUUCUAACAGAAUUCUUUCUGUGUU